RNAcentral lists this ribosomal RNA (478 nucleotides) under uncultured bacterium. RNAcentral's name for it is "partial 16S ribosomal RNA". It matches the Rfam family "Bacterial small subunit ribosomal RNA", at positions 28 to 507 of the family's 1533-position model. The record is from RNAcentral.
GAUGAACGCUGGCGGCGUGCCUAACACAUGCAAGUCGAACGGAGUCCAGCCUUUAAGACCUUCGGGUCAAAGAGGGGAAGACUGAGUGGCGGACGGGUGAGUAACACGUGGGCAACCUGGCUCAUAGAGGGGGAUAACAGAGAGAAAUUUCUGCUAAUACCGCAUAAGCACACACUGCCGCAUGGCAGAGGGUGAAAAGAGAAUCGCUAUGAGAUGGACCCGCGUCUGAUUAGCCAGUUGGCAGGGUAAGAGCCUACCAAAGCGACGAUCAGUAGCCGAUCUGAGAGGAUGUACGGCCACAUUGGGACUGAGACACGGCCCAAACUCCUACGGGAGGCAGCAGUGGGGGAUAUUGCACAAUGGGGGGAACCCUGAUGCAGCGACGCCGCGUGAGUGAAGAAGUAUUUCGGUAUGUAAAGCUCUAUCAGCAGGGAAGAUAAUGACAGUACCUGAAGAAGAAGCCCCGGCUAACUACGUG